This 1772-nucleotide long non-coding RNA is filed under the name Oryzias javanicus (javanese ricefish). RNAcentral describes it as "lncRNA (ENSOJAG00000002538.1)". The record is from RNAcentral. Lineage: Eukaryota; Metazoa; Chordata; Actinopteri; Beloniformes; Adrianichthyidae.
GAUGAGCUCUGCCGCCCGCGCGCCCUUACAGAGGACGUGGAGCGGUCUGAUCAAACGGCGCACGUGACGUCCUGCAGCUCACCUGAGGGAUCAAUGCUCAAUAUGGAACAAGUACAGGCCGGACACGCAUGCGCGAGGUCCGGGACACGUCAUUGCGUCAACAACGAGUCACGUGCUCACAUCUUUUUUCUUUCAAUAAACUUUAUUGCACAUGUUUUGUUCACAUUGAACAACGUCAUAACACAGGACACACUUUGAAUUGCGCAUCAAGUUGAUUUCAGUGGGAGAGUUGCGCAGAAUCGUCAGCCUCACUCUCUCGACCCUGUCCACCUGAACCCGGUGGAACGACAAAGUCGAGACCGGAGGCGGGCCCGGGAUGCAGUGGGUGACCAGCUGUCAUACCUUGCCCAAUUCUGCUCGGAUCGCCUUUCAGCCCGUUGAACCAGACGAGUGAUUUCAUCCGCGCAUUCCGCCGAGGCCAGUGUCCACAUGCUGGAGCAGACGGAUCAGUUCAUCAUGUUUUGUUGACCUCUUAUAUGGGCCCAGUUUUGAAAAAAAUCAAACUUUUAAAUUAAUAAAAUCACAAAACCUCUUUCAAACACUUUUGAGGACAAUACAGAGAAAGAAGGAUAACUGUUGCAGGGAAAUUACAGCAAAAACUACAAAGAUUUUAAAAGUUUAAUUUAAAUCUAUUUUGAAUGAAAAAUUUAAUGGACAAUCCAAAGAGAAUUUUCUUUUUUCAUGCAUUUAUUUUUGUGAUUAAGAAUCUAUUGGGACUUUGCCAAACCUCCUUCAUUGCAAUCUUUCACAAACUCAAGCGCUCUUUAUCCAUUUUUGUUGUUUUUCCUGGGUACAAACCCCUCAGAGGGAUUAAAGAAGACUCCACAAGAUUACAGGAAAAGAGGAGCAGUGAGCAUGUUUUGCUCUGAGGAGAGGUCAUGGGCUGCUGCGGCUGCUUUUGCUGAUAAUAACUCAUCUGUCCUAAUGGAGAAAGGUGCUGUAUCCUGGUGCGCUGAAGGGUAAACUGCCAAACAAAACAGCAGAAGAAAACAAUUGUAGUCCACUGUGGUCAUUUGCAAAACACUAAUUUAUUUCAUAGUUUUUUUCUUGUCUCACAGUAAACUUUUUCAUUACUACAAACAUUUGAAGAGGUUGUAGUUUUGAAUAUCAGAAGAACAAAACGCUGUAGUAGAAGUAACGUCUGGUCUUAAUGGUUUGUUUGGAGGUGAAUGGUUUCCUCCUUGCACACCUCCAUGAAGCAGUCUCUUUCUGGUAGAGAAGUCAUACUUUCACUCCAACAGCAGCACCAGCCUGCUGCAGGUUCUGUGAUGACAUUUUAGGAUAUCAUGUGCUCUACUCUGGGGUUGAAUUUGCUUGGAUGGCCAGACCGGGCAUCAUAGCAACUGUUGUGAAAGUCAGUUUUCCAGAUAUAGAACACCUGAUGUCAACUGUUUGAGACAGUUUUGAAAGCCCUCACCAGACUCGUCAGCAGCCACAACCUUCUUCUGAUCGUCUCAGGCAGCAAAAAGGCCUUUGGUCAGGACAGGUUAAAAAACAGAAAAGCAAUCAUUACUCUCAGGUGUACAUGUUAGUCAGAAGGGGUUGGGCCUGUCUUUACACACGCACUCAAAUACUACAAAAAUACUUAAAAAAAUCUGUACAUACUCAUGUCAACAUGUAGAUAAUACAAAUAUAGUUAGACAUACAAACACACACAUUCAAGCAUUUCAAUCCAUCACGCACAAUGAAGUGUUUGUUUUCUACUGUGGUGG